UUUCCCAAUUGACUACCACAUUUCCUUCUACUUGUUGAUUUUAGUGGUUAUGCUUAUGAGAUCUAGUAAAAUUGCCAUGAUCUGAAGAGGGAGAAUUUCUUUGUGUCCUCCUCCUCUAUGAAAUGACUCAACAGAAAAAU
Molecule: small nucleolar RNA, 140 nt
Filed under: Sorex araneus (European shrew)
Lineage: Eukaryota; Metazoa; Chordata; Mammalia; Eulipotyphla; Soricidae
Description: Small nucleolar RNA SNORA29 (ENSSARG00000016298.1)
Rfam family: Small nucleolar RNA SNORA29
About the family: ACA29 is a member of the H/ACA class of snoRNA that guide the sites of modification of uridines to pseudouridines.
Source: RNAcentral